RNAcentral lists this ribosomal RNA (433 nucleotides) under uncultured bacterium. RNAcentral describes it as "partial 16S ribosomal RNA". It matches the Rfam family "Bacterial small subunit ribosomal RNA", at positions 29 to 507 of the family's 1533-position model. The record is from RNAcentral.
AGCGAACGCUGGCGGCAGGCCUAACACAUGCAAGUCGAACGAACUCUUCGGAGUUAGUGGCGGACGGGUGAGUAACACGUGGGAACGUGCCUUUUGGUUCGGAAUAACUCAGGGAAACUUGUGCUAAUACCGAAUGUGCCCUUCGGGGGAAAGACUUAUCGCCAUUAGAGCGGCCCGCGUCUGAUUAGCUAGUUGGUGAGGUAACGGCUCACCAAGGCGACGAUCAGUAGCUGGUCUGAGAGGAUGACCAGCCACACUGGGACUGAGACACGGCCCAGACUCCUACGGGAGGCAGCAGUGGGGAAUCUUGCGCAAUGGGCGAAAGCCUGACGCAGCCAUGCCGCGUGAAUGAUGAAGGUCUUAGGAUUGUAAAAUUCUUUCACCGGGGACGAUAAUGACGGUACCCGGAGAAGAAGCCCCGGCUAACUUCGUG